GUUGCAAGCGCGCGUGCGCACCGGGGACCUUCUGGAAGGGCUUCGCCUGAGGCGGGGCUGGUGAUUGCGGCGUUUGUCUCCUGCAGGGGCCCGGCUUCCAGAGCAAACCUGGCUUUGGGCCUGAGGUUAAUCAUAAAAAUCAUAGUAAUUAAUUAUAACGGGCUACUUUUUCUUGAAUACUUUUAACAUUUAUUGGCUUGUUUGGUCUUCACACUCCCCUGCUUUGGAAAGGGAGGCAGCAUGAAUGGUUGAAAGAGUACCAGACAACUUGGGUUCAAAUUCUUUAUUUGCCCUACUAGCCAUGCCAAAUUGGGAAAAAAAAUCAAUUUUGUCUACUGUAAAAUAAUACAAUAUCCAAGUAAUAGUGACGGCGUGCCUACCAUACAAAAUGAUUGUGAGGAUUAAUUGAGAUACUGAAGAAGCACUCUGUAAACUAUAAAAUAUUAUACAAAGAAAAGCUUUGGUGGUGGAGCUGUCAUUCUAAUUACACUGAGUUUCCCCUCAAGAACACGGUUCUCCCCUGCACCCCACCAUCUGUGGCUUUUAGGAUUAAGGAUACUCUAGGAUCUCUCUUAGAAGGCUUACCCAAGACAUCCAGCUUUACAGUAAAGGUGGCUUCUCCUGCUCUGUUCUUGGC
Molecule: long non-coding RNA, 637 nt
Organism: Hipposideros armiger (great roundleaf bat)
Lineage: Eukaryota; Metazoa; Chordata; Mammalia; Chiroptera; Hipposideridae
Exons: 4
Source: RefSeq, a predicted model, not a curated record